This is a long non-coding RNA of Zonotrichia albicollis (white-throated sparrow), 4472 nucleotides long. RefSeq lists it as uncharacterized. The record is from RefSeq and is a predicted model, not a curated record. NCBI's taxonomy places the organism in Eukaryota, Metazoa, Chordata, Aves, Passeriformes, Passerellidae.
AAAAUUUAAUACCUUUAUCUGUGCUGUUUACCUUUUCCUAGAAAACACUACUCAUAGGAAAAACUUGCUAAGUCAACUCUGACAAAAAUAGCUUAUCAACAUUACUUCCAGCAUUAUGUAAUGGACUCGUCAUCAUAUGCUCUGACAGAUUAUUUUAGAACUGGCUAUACCUAAACAUCCAAAAGAACAUUCUUUGACUCACUAGAUGUUUUUGUUUUAUCUCAAGCUACCUACUACAAACACAACAAUACAUUCACCUCUUUUUUCAUGAUUACUGUCAGCUCUCUCAUUCUGCAAGAGCAUAAAGGAAAUGUUGUUCUAGACUGUGAAAAAGGAAUUUCUCUAAUACCAUAAGGGUUGAAACAAGAUGUACCCCAUUAAAACUGAACUCUUUCAAUUAGUCAGGAAAACAUUCCCUGACUAAUGACAAAAAAAAAAAAAAAAGAAGAAUAGCAACUUAAAUGCUGGGUGUGUUUUUCUGUUAAUGUAUCAUUUUAUAUUGAUUUUCAGACUAAAAGGCACCUAAGAUCAGGUGGUACCAGAACCAGUGUAGUGAUAUAGCUACAGUAGUGCUAUGCUUACUUGAGAAAACAAGCACCUCUACUGGCAGAGAUAACAUUCAUAACAUAACAUCUUUUUUCCCGAGCAUAUAUAUUUCUACAUUGCAAGGCAUCAUACACGAACACUAUUCAGGAAGCAAUGAAGUCAAUGAUCAACAUGAUUACAUCAUCAAAAGAUCAUAAGAAAGCUUUAAUUACAACAGAACGGAUGAAAAAAAAUAAUCAAAGCUAAUAAUAAAUGAAAGUUAAGUUCAUUAAAGUCUCCUGACACGCAUAUGGGCUUCACAGUUAAAUAAUAAUUCUUUCCAUUUAUAUAUGUUAGCAUGUCACUUAUGGCAGGUCUUUGAGAACAAAAUUUUCACAGAAGAUCCAACUACUGGCAGGAUGAACACAACUGUUGUGUGGAAAAUGAUCACUGUUCAUGAUGAUCUAUACAUUCAAAGUAACUAUCAGUAUUGCAACCAUGGCAUAAGUGAUAAUAAUUUUUUUAAGCCUCAAAUUCAUUAAUACUUUGUUCUCGAAAGAUGAACUUUUCUUUCCCCCCCAGUCUUGAUGUGCUCGCAACCGAAACCAAAGAUUUAUAUACUUCAAAACACUUCUCCAAAUGCACAUCUAUUAAAGUGUACACAAAAAAUCAGCCUGAGCAUGGCAUAUUUGAUUCUGCCACAACUUUAUUUUUUAAAGGAAAGAUUGCAAUGCCUGCUUAAAAACAAAAGGAAACCUAUUUUUGACUUCCAGGCCCUGUGAGGUCUAAUGUGCAUUGUGAUAACCAGUUGGCCUCGCUCUGAAAGGGCUAAAAACAACAACAAAAAAAAUUUAAACUACUUGUAUUUCUCCAGCGGUAAAACCAAAAUGUUGCCAGGUCUUCCUACAGCCAGGGUACUGGAUAAUUUAGGUUAAAAUAAAUGUUUAUUAAAAAACAGGGCGUUGAUUUCUUGGCAGCGGUGAAAAGCAGCAGACACCCCUAGUGUCGACGUAAAAUACUACACGACUCCAUACUGUAUCUCCAGGUUAAUUUUACAGCAGAAAAAAGGAAAUUUAAACCCGUCAUGAUUGAAAAAACAAAGCGACUCUCGCGCACACACACACCUGGACACAUCGCACUCCCGCAGACCCCGAGUACCCAUCGUAUGUGAAGUGUCAGCUUUCCGCCCCAGCCCAGUUACAGCGCACAUUAUCCCGUCCAUUGGGCUACGUGCAUUACAGCUUUCCGGUCCGCAUACGAACAGCUAUUGCUGCUGCACCGGGGGCGGGGGGAGAACCCCGCGGAGCUGCGAAACAACCCCCGCACGGCAGCGCCGCCGAGAUCGCCGGAGUUUCGUUUGGAAACGGCUUCGGGGACCGACAGUGCCUCCGUGGAACAGACGAGUCGCAGCACGGGCAAUGCGAAUCCCCAGACCGGUCCCCCAGUAGGGUCGGGUGGGGGUGAGUUUUUGAAUCUUCUUUGGUAAUCCUGCGUGGAAGCUGUCAGGCGUGGGGCACUCCAGCAUGUUUAGAGCUCCUACGCAUUUCCAAAUUGAGAGCUGCGACAGACUGUCAUUUUAGGAAGAGAAAAGCUCCCUCCUGUGGAAGACAUGAACCUCUGCUGUGACAAGGAGCAACCAUAAGGGCAUCACAAGGUGAUUUUAAAUUAGCAGGAAAAAAAGGUUACAAGCACUGUGGAACUUUGCAAAUAUUGGAAUGAAAAACCCUUCUCCCUGUUAUUUUUUUUCUCAAAGUAAUUUUUUCAUCUUUUGUAUGAUUUAUAACUGAGAUACGGUUUUAGAAAUAACUGCUGUAAGUAAUAGUGGAUCGUUUAAAUACUAUAAUGUGGCCACAAUGGACUCUUUAAUGUUAAAGGGAUCUAAAGCAGCUGAUAUUUUUUCAGAUUUUGCUUUCUGUAGCUCUUUGCUGAAAAACCGUAGUAUUUUGGACAUUUCUGUCAAUUUGAGUUUGUAGAGCUUACUUGUAAAAAAUUUGUUUCCUUUUUCCUUUUUUCUUAAAGUUUGAUAAUCUGUAUAUCUCAAUGAUCUGUAUUAAAAUGAUUUUGAAUCUUGCUGUGAUUGGUGGUCCUUGGUAGAACGUUCUGCUGAGCUCAAAGCCCUGUGUGAUUUGGAAAAGAAAACUGCAUAGAAGGCAUAAAGAUGAAAUUGUGAUGGAGGGGCUGGAAGUAGAACUUGAUAUAAAAUUCCUGAUAGAAACAGUAUUUUUACCUUUGAGCUGAAUAUGAUUCAUGCUUAUGAUCUGAAGGUAGAAGGCUCUAGCUCAUUAGCAUAUUAAUAAAACCUUGAGGCAUUUACUUCCAUAAAUGCUAAUGUUAUUCCCCUGAGAAUGAAGCACUUUUGGGGAGGGGGAGAUGGAUCUUUAGUAUUCUAAUGGAGUUUUAAUUUUACCAAUUCCAAUUCAUUGUCAACUAGAGCAGACUGAGACAGCACCGAGUGCUCUGACCCGCUGCAAAAAACUGUUGUGUUGAGACUGGGUAUUGGGAUCCUGUCCAUUGGCCAAAUGGUAAAUUGUCAUCUUGUUCAGAGAGAGCUGGGUUCUAGCUUGUGCCACACAGUAGCUUAAGUUUGGUUACAAAAGCAUGGGAUUAGCAAUGGCAUGUAAUGAUGAAGUGAGAUUUAGUUCUGUCUUUAGAAAUGUUAUGGUGUACCUGCUUAUUUUGAUAGAGUUUGGAGACAUCUUUGAAGAAGGGAAUGGUUACUGUGUUAAGGUAGUAUUAUCUUUAUUUAUGAGAACUGUUAAGAUGUUAUAGUUUGGGUGAGCAGUCCUAAUGAUUGUGCUUUCAAAAAUGCAAGCUCCCGAACUUGUGGGCAAGCAGAAAUUCUCAUGAGGCUGCAUGUAACAAAGGCUCAAGUCAGAGUCAUGAGAGAUGUUGCCAGAAGUGCCUUAUCAGUGAGGUUCGGUGCUGUGUGAGCUCCCUUGGAUCCCUCUGACCACAGAGCACUCACUGGCUGCUGCUCUUCAGGUGCCAGUUUGGAUUAAAGAAAAUCAGCAAUAGCAAAGGGGAGUCCCUCUCACAUAGAAGUAUUUGCACUGGGUUCUGCGAGGCUGGAGUGUUUGUGUGGGAGGGGAAGUGGUCUGUGCAGCUCAUAUGGGGAUGGGGAGGCUUUUACAUAUGGCUUACAGCUCACUAAUGGCUCCUAGGAUUGAAAGUUCCUUCCUGGUACAUAUGAGUCACCGUGCCUGGAGGGAUUAAGAUGUGUGGACGUGGCAUUUGGGGACAUGGUUCAGCGGUGCACUUGGCAGAGUUAACAAUUGCACUGGAUGAUCUUAAACAUCUUUUAUAACCCAACUAAUUCUACAGUUCUGUAUUUCCUGUUAGUAGCUCCAUCUAUCGAUUGGCUGGAGUAUUUCUGAUUGCUGCUUUUUUCCCUAUGGCAAUUUUUGUCUGGUUUCUUAAGAAAUUGAAACUUGUAUCAAGCACACUUUGUCUUGCUCUUCUCCUUUCUCUGCACCCCUCCACUCCAAAUAUUAGACUUUUUAAAUGAAAAUUGAUUACUGAGUUGCUUUAGUUUAUGAAAUUACAAACCUGAACACAGUACACUGGAUGAAAUUAGUUUCCCUAAUGAUAGAGGGGCUGCAUCAUGAGUUGAACUCUAAUGUUAUAACACCAGGGAAUCCACAGGAGAUGGACAGGAAAUUAGUCUCUAUGUCCUGUGGUUCACUAUGACACACUAAGAGAACAAAAAAGUUUUACUGUUUUUAGUAUUCAUAUGGCAGUGAUUUCUGCAAAGCAACUGUGAUCUGGAAGAAAUGGCUUUAAAUCUCUGAAUCCUCAGCAGUUAAUUUUCUUUUACUGGACCUGUGGGAAUUGAAAUAAUUGUAAAAAUACAGAGGAGAAAACUUACCAGAGCUGGAUAUUUACUCUUGACUGGAAUGACUACUAAUUUGCACUUGCUCAUUUUAAAUAAAGUCUUGUUUGAAAACUUG